GUGAAUCAUCGAAUCUUUGAACGCACCUUGCACCUUUUGGUAUUCCGAAAGGUAUGCCUGUUUGAGUGUCUUGAAACCUCACACUCUUGAGUUUUCUCAAGAGACGUGGAUUUGGGUGUUGCAAUUUGCUCACCUUGAAUGACUUAGUGGUUCCUACCGUAGCCUGAUGUAAUAAGUUUCAUCUGGUCAAGGGAAGACUGCUUCUAAUCGCCUUGCGGCACUAUUUAAGACUAGACCUCAAAUCAGGUAGGACUACCCGCUGAACUUAAGCAUAUCAAUAAGCGGAGGA
RNAcentral lists this unclassified non-coding RNA (289 nucleotides) under Syzygospora sp. Its description in RNAcentral is "partial contains 5.8S ribosomal RNA, internal transcribed spacer 2, and large subunit ribosomal RNA". The stretch from base 1 to 71 matches the Rfam family "5.8S ribosomal RNA", at positions 84 to 154 of the family's 154-position model. Lineage: Eukaryota; Fungi; Basidiomycota; Tremellomycetes; Tremellales; Syzygosporaceae. The record is from RNAcentral.